Molecule: ribosomal RNA, 1027 nt
Filed under: uncultured organism
Description: bacterial SSU rRNA
Rfam family: Bacterial small subunit ribosomal RNA
Source: RNAcentral
UAGGGAAUCUUCGGCAAUGGGGGCAACCCUGACCGAGCAACGCCGCGUGAGUGAAGAAGGUUUUCGGAUCGUAAAGCUCUGUUGUAAGUCAAGAACGGGUGUGAGAGUGGAAAGUUCACACUGUGACGGUAGCUUACCAGAAAGGGACGGCUAACUACGUGCCAGCAGCCGCGGUAAUACGUAGGUCCCGAGCGUUGUCCGGAUUUAUUGGGCGUAAAGCGAGCGCAGGCGGUUUGAUAAGUCUGAAGUUAAAGGCUGUGGCUCAACCAUAGUUCGCUUUGGAAACUGUCAAACUUGAGUGCAGAAGGGGAGAGUGGAAUUCCAUGUGUAGCAGUGAAAUGCGUAGAUAUAUGGAGGAACACCGGUGGCGAAAGCGGCUCUCUGGUCUGUAACUGACGCUGAGGCUCGAAAGCGUGGGGAGCGAACAGGAUUAGAUACCCUGGUAGUCCACGCCGUAAACGAUGAGUGCUAGGUGUUGGAUCCUUUCCGGGAUUCAGUGCCGCAGCUAACGCAUUAAGCACUCCGCCUGGGGAGUACGACCGCAAGGUUGAAACUCAAAGGAAUUGACGGGGGCCCGCACAAGCGGUGGAGCAUGUGGUUUAAUUCGAAGCAACGCGAAGAACCUUACCAGGUCUUGACAUCCCGAUGCUAUUUCUAGAGAUAGAAAGUUACUUCGGUACAUCGGUGACAGGUGGUGCAUGGUUGUCGUCAGCUCGUGUCGUGAGAUGUUGGGUUAAGUCCCGCAACGAGCGCAACCCCUAUUGUUAGUUGCCAUCAUUCAGUUGGGCACUCUAGCGAGACUGCCGGUAAUAAACCGGAGGAAGGUGGGGAUGACGUCAAAUCAUCAUGCCCCUUAUGACCUGGGCUACACACGUGCUACAAUGGUUGGUACAACGAGUUGCGAGUCGGUGACGGCGAGCUAAUCUCUUAAAGCCAAUCUCAGUUCGGAUUGUAGGCUGCAACUCGCCUACAUGAAGUCGGAAUCGCUAGUAAUCGCGGAUCAGCACGCCGCGGUGAAUACGUUCCC